Molecule: ribosomal RNA, 159 nt
Filed under: Ampelomyces quisqualis
Lineage: Eukaryota; Fungi; Ascomycota; Dothideomycetes; Pleosporales; Phaeosphaeriaceae
Description: 5.8S ribosomal RNA
Rfam family: 5.8S ribosomal RNA
About the family: 5.8S ribosomal RNA (5.8S rRNA) is a component of the large subunit of the eukaryotic ribosome. It is transcribed by RNA polymerase I as part of the 45S precursor that also contains 18S and 28S rRNA.
Source: RNAcentral
CAACUUUCAACAACAGAUCUCUUGGUUCUGGCAUCGAUGAAGAACGCAGCGAAAUGCGAUAAGUAGUGUGAAUUGCAGAAUUCAGUGAAUCAUCGAAUCUUUGAACGCACAUUGCGCCCCUUGGUAUUCCAUGGGGCAUGCCUGUUCGAGCGUCAUUUG